CUUGUUCUUGCAAUUUUUGGUUUGCUUCUCUUUCUUUCUUCUUAUUAUAUUUUUUUGCUCACUCUGUCUUUUUCUUUCUUCUUAUUAUAUUUUUUUGCUCACUCUGUCUUCUUCUAUAAGGUCUUGCUAUCUAGAGCAGAGACAAAAGUCAAAGAAUUACAGAAAUCAAUUAAACUUCAGAAGGAUACAAGUGUAAAGUUGGAGAAUGAUGCAGUAGCAGCUGAAGGAGAGAUGAUACGAGGAAGGACAAAACUCAGGCCAAACGAAUCCGUAGUGCCAUACAGUCAGCGUACAAGGUAGAAAGGCAAGCUGCAGGUUUGCAAUUAAAAGGGAGAGGACCAGAGAUAGAGAUGAUGAUGAACGUCAUCGAACUCGAGAUUAUGACCAGCACAGAGAUCAUGUCAAAGAUAGAGAGAGUCGGCAUAGACACAGGUCUCACUCAAAGGGUAGAUCUAAGCGUAGAUCAAUGUCUCGAUCGCAUUUUCAAUCCAAGAGG
Long non-coding RNA from Capsicum annuum, 496 nucleotides. RefSeq lists it as uncharacterized. The transcript has 5 exons. The record is from RefSeq and is a predicted model, not a curated record. Lineage: Eukaryota; Viridiplantae; Streptophyta; Magnoliopsida; Solanales; Solanaceae.